UGUGACAUACCACUUGUUGCCUCGGCGGAUCAGCCCGCUCCCGGUAAAACGGGACGGCCCGCCAGAGGACCCCUAAACUCUGUUUCUAUAUGUAACUUCUGAGUAAAACCAUAAAUAAAUCAAAACUUUCAACAACGGAUCUCUUGGUUCUGGCAUCGAUGAAGAACGCAGCAAAAUGCGAUAAGUAAUGUGAAUUGCAGAAUUCAGUGAAUCAUCGAAUCUUUGAACGCACAUUGCGCCCGCCAGUAUUCUGGCGGGCAUGCCUGUUCGAGCGUCAUUUCAACCCUCAAGCACAGCUUGGUGUUGGGACUCGCGUUAAUUCGCGUUCCUCAAAUUGAUUGGCGGUCACGUCGAGCUUCCAUAGCGUAGUAGUAAAACCCUCGUUACUGGUAAUCGUCGCGGCCACGCCGUUAAACCCCAACUUCUGAAUGUUGACCUCGGAUCAGGUAGGAAUACCCGCUGAACUUAAGCAUAUCAAUAAGCGGAGG
This 488-nucleotide ribosomal RNA is filed under the name fungal sp. Y217. Its description in RNAcentral is "eukaryotic LSU rRNA". The stretch from base 124 to 277 matches the Rfam family "5.8S ribosomal RNA". The record is from RNAcentral. Lineage: Eukaryota; Fungi.